ACUGACAAAGGGGAGGCUGAAGAAUUGGCUGAAGUUGAAGCAAAAUUGAAUGCUGAUUGGAAAGCUAACACAGGAACAACCAAAGAGGAUGUCAAGGUUGAUGAUGAAUUGAAGAAGCAAAGACGACCAUUUCUUUCACAGUUCUUCUCACCUAUAUUCUUGAAGGCAUUUUCCAUUACAUUCUUUGGUGAAUGGGGUGACAAGAGCCAGAUAGCAACCAUUGGUUUGGCUGCAGAUGAGAACCCAUUUGGUGUUGUUUUUGGUGGAAUUCUAGGCCAAGCAUUGUGUACUACUGCUGCUGUUGUUGGAGGAAAAAGCCUGGCAUCUCAGAUAUCUGAGAGAAUAGUUGCCCUGUCAGGUGGAGUUCUUUUUAUAAUUUUUGGGAUCCAGUCCUUCCUUUCAACAGCGGAUUCACGAGGCUCCUGAUCUUUGCCAAUGGUUAGUAGUUGUAACACACUCCAAUACCUCAUCUCAUAAGUCAGUGGCUAUUAAAAUACUCGGGUGGGAAGAAAUUUAAAAAAUACGGUGUCUUUCAACUAAUUUAUGGAAGAGAAAAAGAAAAUGCUGCAAAACCUAAGUUCAACUGAAUAUUCAUGAUUGGUUGAAUGAUAAUGUUUUUUUGGUGGUAUGCAAUGGCACCUAAUUUUCCUUCUCACUGGAGGCAGUACUGUCU
This 673-nucleotide unclassified non-coding RNA is filed under the name Hevea brasiliensis (rubber tree). Lineage: Eukaryota; Viridiplantae; Streptophyta; Magnoliopsida; Malpighiales; Euphorbiaceae. The record is from RNAcentral.